RNAcentral lists this ribosomal RNA (497 nucleotides) under uncultured bacterium. Its description in RNAcentral is "partial 16S ribosomal RNA". It matches the Rfam family "Bacterial small subunit ribosomal RNA", at positions 28 to 507 of the family's 1533-position model. The record is from RNAcentral.
GACGAACGCUGGCGGCGUGCCUAAUACAUGCAAGUAGAACGCUGAAGAGAGGAGCUUGCUCUUCUUGGAUGAGUUGCGAACGGGUGAGUAACGCGUAGGUAACCUGCCUUGUAGCGGGGGAUAACUAUUGGAAACGAUAGCUAAUACCGCAUAACAAUGGAUGACACAUGUCCUUUAUUUGAAAGGGGCAAUUGCUCCACUACAAGAUGGACCUGCGUUGUAUUAGCUAGUAGGUGAGGUAAUGGCUCACCUAGGCGACGAUACAUAGCCGACCUGAGAGGGUGAUCGGCCACACUGGGACUGAGACACGGCCCAGACUCCUACGGGAGGCAGCAGUAGGGAAUCUUCGGCAAUGGGGGCAACCCUGACCGAGCAACGCCGCGUGAGUGAAGAAGGUUUUCGGAUCGUAAAGCUCUGUUGUAAGUCAAGAACGGGUGUGAGAGUGGAAAGUUCACACUGUGACGGUAGCUUACCAGAAAGGGACGGCUAACUACGUG